CUCCUGCCUCAGCCUCCCGAAUGCUGGGAUUACAGGACAGAACCAAGUCAGAACCCUGUGACAAAUGCUACAGUCCCUGGAGGAGAGGCACCGUAGAACACAGCUGACCGGGGCUCCUGAGGGUGGUGGAGGUCGCGAAAAUCAAGGAGACACAGAGACUGCGUGUCCGGAGAUGAGAAGGAGACUCCAUGCGUAAUUGACCUGGGCCGGAUGCUGAAAGACAACACAACCAAAGCCAAAGAAGUCCCAGCACCGUGUGAAGUCCACUUCCCACGACGUUACAAGGUCCACUUCGCACUUGUGACAAGCUCCACGUGAUGCGUUCACAGGAACCGCAGUGGAGGUGGAUAGAAGACAGAGAUGGAUCUAAACUCAGCGCCCUAUUUUCAGUUCCCAGAACAGCUGAAAACAUGAACGAAAGCUGUCAUCACAUCUAAUAACAGCUAGAUACUGAAGCAAAACUAAUGGAAUGGGGUGAUCCUGAUCUUUAGGCUCAAAGCCAGAGCAUUUACUAGCUACAUGAUUUCAAACAAAUUGAGCAUCUGGAUCAAAUUUUCCUUUAAAACAUUUCCUGCAUCUUGGGCUGGGGAUGUAGCUCAGGAGUAGAAGGGAGCACAGGGGGUGCCAGGUGGGGGGUUCUGUCCCCAGCUUCCCUGUGCUGUACAGAUGUCGUGCACCUGCCACUGCUCAUCUGGGCUUCAGCCUCCAUCCUCUGGGGCCCCGCAUCGUGCUGUCCAGACCACGUGCCUCCUCACAGGGGCCUCUGGAUCAGCUUACCUGCUGCCCCAUAAAUAAGGUACAAUACAAAAUCUGAGUAAGACUUCUCAGUAAGACUUAUCCCGCCUUACAUGUGAGGAGGAAUAAUCCUCUAACUUUUACUGUGGAGACACACCACACACACACACACACACACACACACACACACACUCACUCCAUGAAACCCAACUAGUCUUCUACUGGGUGUCUUCCUGAAAGACUUAGACUCUGCACCACAGUGACCCAUGCACACCCGUGUUUACAGUGGCACAACUUACAGCAAAAUCUUGGAAGCAUUUAUA
Fukomys damarensis (Damara mole-rat) is the source of this 1058-nucleotide long non-coding RNA. RefSeq lists it as uncharacterized. NCBI's taxonomy places the organism in Eukaryota, Metazoa, Chordata, Mammalia, Rodentia, Bathyergidae. The record is from RefSeq and is a predicted model, not a curated record. The transcript has 3 exons.